Molecule: ribosomal RNA, 231 nt
Filed under: uncultured bacterium
Lineage: Bacteria
Description: partial 16S ribosomal RNA
Rfam family: Bacterial small subunit ribosomal RNA
Source: RNAcentral
CGGGGUGAGUAACGCGUGGAUAACCUGCCUCACACUGGGGGAUAACAGUUAGAAAUGCUGCUAAUACCGCAUAAGCGCACAGUACCGCAUGGUACAGUGUGAAAAACUCCGGUGGUGUGAGAUGGAUCCGCGUCUGAUUAGCCAGUUGGCGGGGUAACGGCCCACCAAAGCGACGAUCAGUAGCCGACCUGAGAGGGUGACCGGCCACAUUGGGACUGAGACACGGCCCAA